GGAGUCUGGACCGUAUCUCAGUUCCAAUGUGGGGGACCUUCCUCUCAGAACCCCUAGCCAUCGUCGCCUUGGUGGGCCGUUACCCCGCCAACCAGCUAAUCAGACGUGAGCCCAUCCUUCAGCGAUAAAUCUUUGGUAUCCAGAUGAUGCCACCCGGAUACAUUAUGCGGUAUUAGCAGUCGUUUCCAACUGUUGUCCCCCUCUGAAGGGCAGGUUGCUCACGCAUUACUCACCCGUCCGCCACUAAGUCAAAUCCGAUUCUUGACGAAUCUCAAACCGGAAGUGCUUCGUUCGACUUGCAUGUGUUAGGCACGCCGCCAGCGUUCGUCCUGAGCCACGGAUCAAACUCU
Molecule: ribosomal RNA, 350 nt
Filed under: uncultured Oscillospiraceae bacterium
Lineage: Bacteria; Bacillati; Bacillota; Clostridia; Eubacteriales; Oscillospiraceae
Description: partial 16S ribosomal RNA
Source: RNAcentral